GUCGAGAAUCUUUCACAAUGGACGAAAGUCUGAUGGUGCAACGCCGCGUGGAGGAUGACGGUCUUCGGAUUGUAAACUCCUGUCAUCCGGGAGUAAGACCUGGCUGUGAAUAGCAGACAGGGUUGAUAGUACCGGAAGAGGAAGGGACGGCUAACUUCGUGCCAGCAGCCGCGGUAAUACGAAGGUCCCGAGCGUUGUUCGGAAUCACUGGGCGUAAAGGGAGCGUAGGCGGCGUGGUAAGUCAGAUGUGAAAUCCCGGGGCUCAACCCCGGAACUGCAUCCGAUACUGCCGUGCUAGAGGAUUGGAGAGGUAGCUGGAAUUCUUGGUGUAGCAGUGAAAUGCGUGGAGAUCAAGAGGAACACUCGUGGCGAAAGCGAGCUACUGGACAAUAUCUGACGCUGAGGCUCGAAGGCCAGGGUAGCGAAAGGGAUUAGAAACCCCAGUAGUCC
RNAcentral lists this ribosomal RNA (450 nucleotides) under uncultured bacterium. RNAcentral's name for it is "partial 16S ribosomal RNA". It matches the Rfam family "Bacterial small subunit ribosomal RNA", at positions 354 to 796 of the family's 1533-position model. The record is from RNAcentral.